RNAcentral lists this unclassified non-coding RNA (308 nucleotides) under Hevea brasiliensis (rubber tree). The record is from RNAcentral. Lineage: Eukaryota; Viridiplantae; Streptophyta; Magnoliopsida; Malpighiales; Euphorbiaceae.
AAGGGUAGCUCCGCCCAUGUUCCUGGCUAUUUGACUUAUCAACAAGUUUCUGAAUGUUUUGUCCAGGCUAUACUCACAGCUUAAGAACCAUUUUAAGGCCAAUCAACAAGUUGGGAAGUACAUUUCUUACAACUUGGUGAUGGUACAUGGAUUGAGCAGAAUUAAACUGGACAUCUUAUGUCUCGUUUAUGGAGCCAAAAAUCAGUCUAAAGUAGAAUCACUAUGCUGACAGUGUAUGGGGGGGCCUUCCCGCUUAUGCACCUUCAUUUAUAUUAUUUCUGUUCGCUAUGCUGACAGUGUAUAGAAUA